UUUUGUGGGGUGCUCGAGUGGCGAACGGGUGAGUAACACGUGAGUAACCUGCCCUUGACUUUGGGAUAACUUCAGGAAACUGGGGCUAAUACCGGAUAGGAGCUCCUGCUGCACGGUGGGGGUUGGAAAGUUUCGGCGGUUGGGGAUGGACUCGCGGCUUAUCAGCUUGUUGGUGGGGUAGUGGCUUACCAAGGCUUUGACGGGUAGCCGGCCUGAGAGGGUGACCGGCCACAUUGGGACUGAGAUACGGCCCAG
This 255-nucleotide ribosomal RNA is filed under the name uncultured Actinomycetales bacterium. Its description in RNAcentral is "partial 16S ribosomal RNA". It matches the Rfam family "Bacterial small subunit ribosomal RNA", at positions 78 to 334 of the family's 1533-position model. The record is from RNAcentral. Lineage: Bacteria; Bacillati; Actinomycetota; Actinomycetes; Actinomycetales.